RNAcentral lists this ribosomal RNA (1554 nucleotides) under Staphylococcus aureus. Its description in RNAcentral is "16S ribosomal RNA". It matches the Rfam family "Bacterial small subunit ribosomal RNA". Lineage: Bacteria; Bacillati; Bacillota; Bacilli; Caryophanales; Staphylococcaceae. The record is from RNAcentral.
UUUAUGGAGAGUUUGAUCCUGGCUCAGGAUGAACGCUGGCGGCGUGCCUAAUACAUGCAAGUCGAGCGAACGGACGAGAAGCUUGCUUCUCUGAUGUUAGCGGCGGACGGGUGAGUAACACGUGGAUAACCUACCUAUAAGACUGGGAUAACUUCGGGAAACCGUAGCUAAUACCGGAUAAUAUUUUGAACCGCAUGGUUCAAAAGUGAAAGACGGUCUUGCUGUCACUUAUAGAUGGAUCCGCGCUGCAUUAGCUAGUUGGUAAGGUAACGGCUUACCAAGGCAACGAUGCAUAGCCGACCUGAGAGGGUGAUCGGCCACACUGGAACUGAGACACGGUCCAGACUCCUACGGGAGGCAGCAGUAGGGAAUCUUCCGCAAUGGGCGAAAGCCUGACGGAGCAACGCCGCGUGAGUGAUGAAGGUCUUCGGAUCGUAAAACUCUGUUAUUAGGGAAGAACAUAUGUGUAAGUAACUGUGCACAUCUUGACGGUACCUAAUCAGAAAGCCACGGCUAACUACGUGCCAGCAGCCGCGGUAAUACGUAGGUGGCAAGCGUUAUCCGGAAUUAUUGGGCGUAAAGCGCGCGUAGGCGGUUUUUUAAGUCUGAUGUGAAAGCCCACGGCUCAACCGUGGAGGGUCAUUGGAAACUGGAAAACUUGAGUGCAGAAGAGGAAAGUGGAAUUCCAUGUGUAGCGGUGAAAUGCGCAGAGAUAUGGAGGAACACCAGUGGCGAAGGCGACUUUCUGGUCUGUAACUGACGCUGAUGUGCGAAAGCGUGGGGAUCAAACAGGAUUAGAUACCCUGGUAGUCCACGCCGUAAACGAUGAGUGCUAAGUGUUAGGGGGUUUCCGCCCCUUAGUGCUGCAGCUAACGCAUUAAGCACUCCGCCUGGGGAGUACGACCGCAAGGUUGAAACUCAAAGGAAUUGACGGGGACCCGCACAAGCGGUGGAGCAUGUGGUUUAAUUCAAAGCAACGCGAAGAACCUUACCAAAUCUUGACAUCCUUUGACAACUCUAGAGAUAGAGCCUUCCCCUUCGGGGGACAAAGUGACAGGUGGUGCAUGGUUGUCGUCAGCUCGUGUCGUGAGAUGUUGGGUUAAGUCCCGCAACGAGCGCAACCCUUAAGCUUAGUUGCCAUCAUUAAGUUGGGCACUCUAAGUUGACUGCCGGUGACAAACCGGAGGAAGGUGGGGAUGACGUCAAAUCAUCAUGCCCCUUAUGAUUUGGGCUACACACGUGCUACAAUGGACAAUACAAAGGGCAGCGAAACCGCGAGGUCAAGCAAAUCCCAUAAAGUUGUUCUCAGUUCGGAUUGUAGUCUGCAACUCGACUACAUGAAGCUGGAAUCGCUAGUAAUCGUAGAUCAGCAUGCUACGGUGAAUACGUUCCCGGGUCUUGUACACACCGCCCGUCACACCACGAGAGUUUGUAACACCCGAAGCCGGUGGAGUAACCUUUUAGGAGCUAGCCGUCGAAGGUGGGACAAAUGAUUGGGGUGAAGUCGUAACAAGGUAGCCGUAUCGGAAGGUGCGGCUGGAUCACCUCCUUUCU